Molecule: long non-coding RNA, 1824 nt
Organism: Carya illinoinensis
Lineage: Eukaryota; Viridiplantae; Streptophyta; Magnoliopsida; Fagales; Juglandaceae
Exons: 3
Source: RefSeq, a predicted model, not a curated record
UAUAGAGAGCAGACGUUGGAUUCCUCAAUUCGUUUCUAUUCAGCCGUUGUAUAUUCUUCCAAAUUUGAAAAUCCCAUUUGAGAGAGAAAUACCGACUCGGAAGAGAUGAAUCAAUAAAAUCAGAGAGAGAGCUACGAAAGAUUUUGCACAAGGAGAGAUCAGCGGGAACAACGGCUAUGGAAACGAUUUUGCACAAGGAGAGCGUGAAUGCCAGAGCGUGAGUGUCAGCGGGAAGAACGGCUAUGGAAACGAUUUUGCACAACGAUUUUGCCAUACAUGAUCGAAAAUGUUCAGAGCCUGAAAGAUUUUGCACAAGGAGAGAUGUUGCACAACGGGAACAACGGCUAUGGAAACAAGGUGUUGACAUCGGCAUUGCCGGAGGCUACGUCUACGGUGCAUAACAUCGUCUUCAUCCCCGACGAAUGCGCAAUCUAAGGGGCUGAAGACGUACUUCAAGAACCAAGAGGAACGAUACAAGCUCCGUUACGAGAAGACUCACUCCCUUGUUCUCCUCCCUUAUUCCCACGUUCUUCUGAAAAUGCAAAGUAUAAGAGAUUCUAUCUUGAAGCAUGUGAGGGUGGGGUUAUCAGUCAAAAGUUGGAUAUUAGCUGACAAUUGGAACAUGCUCAAGCAAUUUAGUCGCAAGAUGUGCUCAUCAACAACAACCAGCCCUGAUCAAAUAAUGGACCGAGUGCUUGACCGUUUAAGAAAUUUGAUAAAACGAUGCUUCUAAGAAAACCGACUCAUGCACAAGCAGCAAGAUAAAAGAGUGUGGUAUACUCUCUUUGAACGAUUUUGGUUUCGCUUAAUUAUUGAUUUGCAGUCUCACCGAUUCUAUAUAGUCCUUUUUAAUUUGCGCCAUAGCGGUUAAUUGGGUGUGCGAAGAAAAAGGCCAUGCUCCAAUGACAUCAGUGGUAUUUUUUAACUCCGUUGAUUUUGUUUUAUAGUAACUUUAUGCUUGUUGAUUUUCUAUGUUAUUCUUUUUCUUUGUUUAGUAUAAAUUAAACUCAUGCAGCUUGUGGAUGCAAAAAUAAUUCCUAAGUCUUCAACAUAACAUCAACGAGGCUGAUGUUUGAAUUAGGAGUAGUGGAGUGGGGCGAGCUAGACAAUCUCUUUCUUUACUGUUUAUGCAGCCAGACAUUAAUGUACAUAAGAUGAGGUAAAAUCUUAUAAAAAUGUUGAAAAGUUCAUCUUUAAUUUGAAAUUAUGCUAGAAACCCUCUGUUGUAUAAUAUAGUUAAUUGUAUAUGACUAUUUAGCAACAAAAAAAAAAAAAAAAAAAUGGGAAACGAGUUUCUGUCUGGUAUACGAGUUUGCUCAUGAGCAAACUCUAUUUAGUAGAAUUUACUCUAUGCUGAUUCCAACCAAGUUUAAAGAGAUUGGUGCAACUUAGGGCGUGCUAUACUUUGAGUUCAUAUUAUAUGUUCUAGUUUCUUGAUUUCCUUUGCCCUUUUUAAAAAAAGAAAUUUGUUUUUCCUUAUUCUGUGUUAAAAAUGGUUGUUCAGUGAUUUUCUUUGUUGAAAGGGUGGCCCCGUUGAAGAUCUUAUGUUGGUGUAAUAGAGGUAUGGAUUUAUUUAUCCCAUUAUGCUUUAAUAGUAUUCUAAUAUAAAAAAUAAUGUGUCCUUUAUUUUUAGUCUAAUUUAUGACAGCUCAAAAUUGUAAUAUACACCAAUCAAAAUAUGAUACUAGAAAUAGAAGAAAAACUAUAUACACAAAACCAAUGCCACAAAUCCAUAGCCAUUAACAAUAUUUAACACAACCAAAUCUGUCACCAUGGAUCCAUGAUAUCACCAACCAUUAAUAUAUUUUUAACGUUAAUCUUUUG